This 73-nucleotide transfer RNA is filed under the name Bos taurus (domestic cattle). It matches the Rfam family "tRNA". Rfam says of the family: Transfer RNA (tRNA) molecules are approximately 80 nucleotides in length. Their secondary structure includes four short double-helical elements and three loops (D, anti-codon, and T loops). The record is from Rfam by way of RNAcentral. Lineage: Eukaryota; Metazoa; Chordata; Mammalia; Artiodactyla; Bovidae. RNAcentral also lists the same sequence under 5 other names.
UCCCUGGUGGCUCAGAUGGUAGAGCGUCUGCCUGCAAUGCAGGAGACUGGGGUCAGGAAGAUCCCCUGGAGAA